UCGAACUUAUCUAAUAGUAUAGAAGAAACUGUUUCAUAAAAUGGAAGAAUUGUUGAACUCUCCAGGGUGAAAAGAUUCGAAAAUACUAUUAUGUACAAUCCACACAUAAGUAUUUAUAUAUUUAAUAACUGCAUUGGAUAUCCAAAAGGAUUCAAAUAACUAGAAAUAUUUUUGAUGAAGAAUAUUGUUUACAAUGUUUUCUUUACGGAUAAGUUAU
Harmonia axyridis is the source of this 217-nucleotide long non-coding RNA. RefSeq lists it as uncharacterized. NCBI's taxonomy places the organism in Eukaryota, Metazoa, Arthropoda, Insecta, Coleoptera, Coccinellidae. The transcript is spliced from 2 exons. The record is from RefSeq and is a predicted model, not a curated record.